This 224-nucleotide long non-coding RNA is filed under the name Nicotiana benthamiana. RNAcentral describes it as "long non-coding RNA (NBEN_LNC014030)". The record is from RNAcentral. Lineage: Eukaryota; Viridiplantae; Streptophyta; Magnoliopsida; Solanales; Solanaceae.
UUAGAAUUCCAAAAGAAAGGAACGGAUGAAAUCACCAAAACAAGGAGUCUAUAUGAAAUCUUCAACAAAAGUUACAGAUGAAGCUCAACAAUUCAUGUGAAAUUGCAGCAGCGUGAAAUUUUGAUUCUAAGGGGUACGAUACAAUCUUUCUCAAGAAUAUAAUACAGAUUUGUUCCUAUUCCGACCUUGUUGUCACGUGUUUUGUCGCGAUUGUCUUGUAUUUG